RNAcentral lists this transfer RNA (64 nucleotides) under Melitaea cinxia (Glanville fritillary). RNAcentral's name for it is "tRNA-Cys". The record is from RNAcentral. Lineage: Eukaryota; Metazoa; Arthropoda; Insecta; Lepidoptera; Nymphalidae.
AGUCUUAUAUUCAAUAAAUGAUAUAAAAUUGCAAAUUUUAAGGUGUAUAAAUUUACUAAGGCUU